Molecule: transfer RNA, 58 nt
Filed under: Salvelinus namaycush (lake trout)
Lineage: Eukaryota; Metazoa; Chordata; Actinopteri; Salmoniformes; Salmonidae
Rfam family: tRNA
About the family: Transfer RNA (tRNA) molecules are approximately 80 nucleotides in length. Their secondary structure includes four short double-helical elements and three loops (D, anti-codon, and T loops).
Source: Rfam by way of RNAcentral
UGGCUCAGUUGGUAGAGCAUGGCACUUGCAAUGCCAGGGUUGUGGGUUCAAUUUCCAC